This 271-nucleotide ribosomal RNA is filed under the name uncultured bacterium. Its description in RNAcentral is "partial 16S ribosomal RNA". It matches the Rfam family "Bacterial small subunit ribosomal RNA", at positions 524 to 794 of the family's 1533-position model. The record is from RNAcentral.
UACGUAGGAUCCGAGCGUUGUCCGGAUUUACUGGGUGUAAAGGGUGCGCAGGCGGACUGGUAAGUCAGUGGUGAAAUCUCGUCGCUUAACGACGAAACUGCCUUUGAUACUAUCAGUCUUGAGUCCGGUAGAGAUCUGUGGAAUUCCGAGUGUAGCAGUGAAAUGUGUAGAUGUUCGGAAGAACACCAGUGGCGAAGGCAGCAGAUUGGGCCGGUACUGACGCUCAUGCACGAAAGCGUGGGGAUCAAACAGGAUUAGAAACCCCGGUAGU